RNAcentral lists this ribosomal RNA (279 nucleotides) under uncultured bacterium. Its description in RNAcentral is "partial 16S ribosomal RNA". It matches the Rfam family "Bacterial small subunit ribosomal RNA", at positions 506 to 784 of the family's 1533-position model. The record is from RNAcentral.
UGCCAGCAGCCGCGGUAAUACGGAAGGUGCAAGCGUUAAUCGGAAUUACUGGGUGUAAAGCGCGCGUAGGUGGUUUGUUAAGUUGGAUGUGAAAGCCCUGGGCUCAACCUAGGAACUGCAUCCAAAACUAACUCACUAGAGUGCGACAGAGGGAGGUAGAAUUCAUAGUGUAGCGGUGGAAUGCGUAGAUAUUAUGAAGAAUACCAGUGGCGAAGGCGGCUUUCUGGACAGUGACUGACGCUGAGGCGCGAAAGCGUGGGUAGCAAACAGGAUUAGAUA